RNAcentral lists this transfer RNA (74 nucleotides) under Streptomyces qinglanensis. RNAcentral's name for it is "tRNA_Leu_TAA". It matches the Rfam family "tRNA". Rfam says of the family: Transfer RNA (tRNA) molecules are approximately 80 nucleotides in length. Their secondary structure includes four short double-helical elements and three loops (D, anti-codon, and T loops). Further hydrogen bonds mediate the characteristic L-shaped molecular structure. tRNAs have two regions of fundamental functional importance: the anti-codon, which is responsible for specific mRNA codon recognition, and the 3' end, to which the tRNAs corresponding amino acid is attached (by aminoacyl-tRNA synthetases). tRNAs cope with the degeneracy of the genetic code in two manners: having more than one tRNA (with a specific anti-codon) for a particular amino acid; and 'wobble' base-pairing, i.e. permitting non-standard base-pairing at the 3rd anti-codon position. Lineage: Bacteria; Bacillati; Actinomycetota; Actinomycetes; Kitasatosporales; Streptomycetaceae. The record is from RNAcentral.
GCCCGAGUCGCGCAACAGGUAGACGCGCCCGCCUUAAAAGCGGCUCAGUGCCGGUUCGAAUCCGGCCUCGGGCA